RNAcentral lists this transfer RNA (70 nucleotides) under Dipodomys ordii (Ord's kangaroo rat). It matches the Rfam family "tRNA". Rfam says of the family: Transfer RNA (tRNA) molecules are approximately 80 nucleotides in length. Their secondary structure includes four short double-helical elements and three loops (D, anti-codon, and T loops). Further hydrogen bonds mediate the characteristic L-shaped molecular structure. tRNAs have two regions of fundamental functional importance: the anti-codon, which is responsible for specific mRNA codon recognition, and the 3' end, to which the tRNAs corresponding amino acid is attached (by aminoacyl-tRNA synthetases). tRNAs cope with the degeneracy of the genetic code in two manners: having more than one tRNA (with a specific anti-codon) for a particular amino acid; and 'wobble' base-pairing, i.e. permitting non-standard base-pairing at the 3rd anti-codon position. Lineage: Eukaryota; Metazoa; Chordata; Mammalia; Rodentia; Heteromyidae. The record is from Rfam by way of RNAcentral.
GGGAAUGUAGCUUAGUGGUAGAGUGCUUGACUAGUAUGCAUGAAGCCCUGGGUUCGAUUCCUCAGUACCA